AUUGAACGCUGGCGGCAGGCCUAACACAUGCAAGUCGAGCGGAUGAAGGGAGCUUGCUCCUGGAUUCAGCGGCGGACGGGUGAGUAAUGCCUAGGAAUCUGCCUGGUAGUGGGGGAUAACGUCCGGAAACGGGCGCUAAUACCGCAUACGUCCUGAGGGAGAAAGUGGGGGAUCUUCGGACCUCACGCUAUCAGAUGAGCCUAGGUCGGACUAGCUAGUUGGUGGGGUAAAGGCCUACCAAGGCGACGAUCCGUAACUGGUCUGAGAGGAUGAUCAGUCACACUGGAACUGAGACACGGUCCAGACUCCUACGGGAGGCAGCAGUGGGGAAUAUUGGACAAAGGGCGAAAGCCUGAUCCAGCCAUGCCGCGUGUGUGAAGAAGGUCUUCGGAUUGUAAAGCACUUUAAGUUGGGAGGAAGGGCAGUAAGUUAAUACCUUGCUGUUUUGACGUUACCAACAGAAUAGGCACCGGCUAACUUCGUG
RNAcentral lists this ribosomal RNA (484 nucleotides) under uncultured bacterium. Its description in RNAcentral is "partial 16S ribosomal RNA". It matches the Rfam family "Bacterial small subunit ribosomal RNA", at positions 30 to 507 of the family's 1533-position model. The record is from RNAcentral.